UACAGAGGGUGCGAGCGUUGUCCGGAAUCACUGGGCGUAAAGGGCGCGUAGGUGGCGACCCAAGUCGAUGGUGAAAGCUCGCCGCUCAACGGCGAGUCGGCCACCGAUACUGGGUUGCUGGAGCACUGUAGAGGCAGAUGGAUUCCGGGUGUAGCGGUGGAAUGCGUAGAGAUCCGGAAGAACACCGGUGGCGAAGGCGGUCUGCUGGGCAGUUGCUGACACUGAGGCGCGACAGCGUGGGGAGCAAACAGGG
Molecule: ribosomal RNA, 253 nt
Filed under: uncultured bacterium
Lineage: Bacteria
Description: partial 16S ribosomal RNA
Rfam family: Bacterial small subunit ribosomal RNA
Source: RNAcentral